UACGUAGGGGGCAAGCGUUGUCCGGAUUUAUUGGGCGUAAAGAGCUCGUAGGUGGUUCGGUAAGUCGGAUGUGAAAUCUCCAGGCUCAACCUGGAGGGGUCAUUCGAUACUGCCGUGACUAGAGGUCGGUAGGGGAGUGUGGAAUUCCUGGUGGAGCGGUGAAAUGCGCAGAUAUCAGGAGGAACACCCGUAGCGAAGGCGGCACUCUGGGCCGAUACUGACUCUGAGGAGCGAAAGCGUGGGGAGCGAACAGG
This 254-nucleotide ribosomal RNA is filed under the name uncultured bacterium. RNAcentral describes it as "partial 16S ribosomal RNA". It matches the Rfam family "Bacterial small subunit ribosomal RNA", at positions 524 to 776 of the family's 1533-position model. The record is from RNAcentral.